UUUCCUACCAGAAUGGAUUCUAUAGAACACUUUCCUAUCAGAAUGGAUUCUAUAGAACACUUUCCUAUCAGAGUGGAUUCCAUCCUCUUUCAAUGCUUGACAGCAACAUAAAAUAAACAUUUAUGUGGGUGUAUUCUCUGUUUACCCAGAAGUUAAAUCUCAUGUAGUUUGGUCAGUCUGUCCACAAGAGAUUAACAGGGGUGUGAAACCAUGUAUAACCUUCAUAGUGACAGCAGAGUGUUGGGAAUAUGGCUCCUUUUCCCACUACUGAAAAAGAUCUCUCGGCUGCUCCAUCACAUCCUACAAUGAUGAUGUCAUUAUAAUCUUUAGCCCAGAUGUUUUGGUCUGUUCUAGACAUGAUACAAACACAUUCAGAAACACAUAAAUACAAAUAUUACUUUGAUAUGAUUUAUUUUAAAAUUGAAAAUACAGCUUUAGAUGUUGAGACACAAAUAACGCAACUUAUCCAGUAUAGGCCAGUCAAACCAAGACAACGCCAUGAGGGAGUUAGGUUCAACAGCCUGUCAAACCAAGACAACGCCAGGAGGGAGUUAGGUUCAACAGCAUGUCAAACCAAGACAACGCCAUGAGGGAGUUAGGUUCAACAGCCAGUCAAACCAAGACAACGCCAUGAGGGAGUUAGGUUCAACAGCCAGUCAAACCAAGACAACGCCAGGAGGGAGUUAGGUUCAACAGCCAGUCAAACCAAGACAACGCCAUGAGGGAGUUAGGUUCAACAGCCAGUCAAACCAAGACAACGCCAUGAGGGAGUUAGGUUCAACAGCCUGUCAAACCAAGACAACACCAUGAGGGAGUUAGGUUCAACAGCCUGUCAAACCAAGACAACGCCAGGAGGGAGUUAGGUUCAACAGCCAGUCAAACCAAGACAACGCCAUGAGGGAGUUAGGUUCAACAGCCUGUCAAACCAAGACAACACCAUGAGGGAGUUAGGUUCAACAGCCUGUCAAACCAAGACAACACCAGGAGGGAGUUAGGUUCAACAGCCAGUCAAACCAAGACAACACCAGGAGGGAGUUAGGUUCAACAGCCAGUCAAACCAAGACAACGCCAUGAGGGAGUUAGGUUCAACAGCCUGUCAAACCAAGACAACGCCAUGAGGGAGUUAGGUUCAACAGCCAGUCAAACCAAGACAACGCCAUGAGGGAGUUAGGUUCAACAGCCAGUCAAACCAAGACAACGCCAGGAGGGAGUUAGGUUCAACAGCCUGUCAAACCAAGACAACACCAUGAGGGAGUUAGGUUCAACAGCCUGUCAAACCAAGACAACGCCAUGAGGGAGUUAGGUUCAACAGCCAGUCAAACCAAGACAACGCCAUGAGGGAGUUAGGUUCAACAGCCUGUCAAACCAAGACAACGCCAGGAGGGAGUUAGGUUCAACAGCCUGUCAAACCAAGACAACGCCAGGAGGGAGUUAGGUUCAACAGCCUGUCAAACCAAGACAACGCCAUGAGGGAGUUAGGUUCAACAGCCAGUCAAACCAAGACAACGCCAUGAGGGAGUUAGGUUCAACAGCCUGUCAAACCAAGACAACGCCAGGAGGGAGUUAGGUUCAACAGCCUGUCAAACCAAGACAACGCCAUGAGGGAGUUAGGUUCAACAGCCUGUCAAACCAAGACAACGCCAGGAGGGAGUUAGGUUCAACAGCCUGUCAAACCAAGACAACGCCAUGAGGGAGUUAGGUUCAACAGCCUGUCAAACCAAGACAACGCCAUGAGGGAGUUAGGUUCAACAGCCUGUCAAACCAAGACAACGCCAGGAGGGAGUUAGGUUCAACAGCCUGUCAAACCAAGACAACGCCAUGAGGGAGUUAGGUUCAACAGCCUGUCAAACCAAGACAACGCCAUGAGGGAGUUAGGUUCAACAGCCUGUCAAACCAAGACAACGCCAUGAGGGAGUUAGGUUCAACAGCCUGUCAAACCAA
This is a long non-coding RNA of Oncorhynchus keta (chum salmon), 1941 nucleotides long. RefSeq lists it as uncharacterized. The transcript is spliced from 7 exons. The record is from RefSeq and is a predicted model, not a curated record. NCBI's taxonomy places the organism in Eukaryota, Metazoa, Chordata, Actinopteri, Salmoniformes, Salmonidae.